AUGCAGCCAAUCGGCACAUCCACUCGGCUUGAGGAAGUACGAGAGAGCUUGGUGCCUGCAAAUGGCGCUAUGGUGGCGGAGCAGCAUCGGCCGGUGGACAGCGGCGAGGCACAUAUUUUUGCGGCCAAGGAAGCAUCAGCGGACAGGAGGGAGAGCUCGCCUCCGACAUCGGAGCUGUCAACGGGCAAGAUGAAUCCCCAGGCGCCCGGGUGGAACAAGAGAUUAGGUGCUGCCGCAACGAGCAAAACACCCUGCCCAAAUCAAAUCAGUGAGUUCGAGAAGGAUGUUAGGUGUUUUGCUGAGAACCCAGCUGAAAAUUUGAUCAAACCAGUUCUUGCGACUACUUUCGACUCUUUGGGCGAGGCGUACGACUUCUACAAUCUGUACUCACGAGAAGAGCCGGCUUAUUGUCAAGAGGACGAAAUGCAUGCAGGAAAUAGUGUGUGGGUGCUCGGGUAA
This 459-nucleotide ribosomal RNA is filed under the name Triticum aestivum (bread wheat). RNAcentral's name for it is "partial small subunit ribosomal RNA". Lineage: Eukaryota; Viridiplantae; Streptophyta; Magnoliopsida; Poales; Poaceae. The record is from RNAcentral.